Molecule: ribosomal RNA, 415 nt
Filed under: uncultured bacterium
Lineage: Bacteria
Description: bacterial SSU rRNA
Rfam family: Bacterial small subunit ribosomal RNA
Source: RNAcentral
UGAGGAAUAUUGGGCAAUGCCCGCAAGGGUGACCCAGCAACGCCGCGUGGAGGAUGAAUGUCGUAAGAUUGUAAACUCCUGUUAGAGGGGAAGAAUAGUACCGGUUGGACCGGUAUAUGACUGUACCCUCAGAGAAAGCCCCGGCUAACUACGUGCCAGCAGCCGCGGUAAUACGUAGGGGGCAAGCGUUGUCCGGAUUUACUGGGUGUAAAGGGCGCGCAGGCGGGAUAAAAAGUCAGUGGUGAAAUCCUACAGCUUAACUGUAGAACUGCCUUUGAUACCUUUAUUCGUGAGUUCGGGAGAGAGAGACGGAAUUCCAGGUGUAGUGGUGAAAUACGUAGAUAUCUGGAAGAACACCUGUUGCGAAGGCGGUCUCUUGGUCCGACACUGACGCUGAGGCGCGAAAGCGUGGGGA